CUCCACCUACGGGGGGCAGCAGUGGGGAAUAUUGCACAAUGGGCGCAAGCCUGAUGCAGCGACGCCGCGUGCGGGAUGGAGGCCUUCGGGUUGUAAACCGCUUUUGUUCAAGGGCAAGGCACGGUCUUUGGCCGUGUUGAGUGGAUUGUUCGAAUAAGCGCCGACCAACUACGUGCCAGCAGCCGCGGUAAUACGUAGGGUGCAAGCGUUAUCCGGAUUUAUUGGGCGUAAAGGGCUCGUAGGCGGUUCGUCGCGUCCGGUGUGAAAGUCCAUCGCUUAACGGUGGAUCCGCGCCGGGGACGGGG
Molecule: ribosomal RNA, 305 nt
Filed under: uncultured bacterium
Lineage: Bacteria
Description: bacterial SSU rRNA
Rfam family: Bacterial small subunit ribosomal RNA
Source: RNAcentral